CCCUUAGAUGUCCUGGGCUGCACGCGCGCUACACUGACGAAGGCAACGAGCUACUCUUCACCGAAAGGUGUGGGUAAUCUUUUGAAACUUCGUCGUGCUGGGGAUAGAUCCUUGCAAUUUUUGAUCUUAAACGAGGAAUUCCUAGUAAGCGCAAGUCAUCAACUUGCGUUGAUUACGUCCCUGCCCUUUGUACACACCGCCCGUCGCUACUACCGAUUGAAUGGUUUAGUGAGGCCUUCGGAUCCGCGAUUUUAUUGUGGAGAAGUUGGACAAACUCAGUCAUUUAGAGGAAGUAAAAGUCGUAACA
This 307-nucleotide ribosomal RNA is filed under the name uncultured eukaryote. RNAcentral describes it as "partial 18S ribosomal RNA". It matches the Rfam family "Eukaryotic small subunit ribosomal RNA", at positions 1470 to 1796 of the family's 1831-position model. The record is from RNAcentral.